UACGGAGGGUGCAAGCGUUAUCCGGAAUCAUUGGGUUUAAAGGGUCCGCAGGCGGAAGAAUAAGUCAGUGGUGAAAUCUCACAGCUCAACUGUGAAACUGCCAUUGAUACUGUUUUUUCUUGAAUUCGAUCGAAGUGGGCGGAAUGUGACAUGUAGCGGUGAAAUGCUUAGAUAUGUCACAGAACACCGAUAGCGAAAGGCAGCUCACUAGGUCUGGAUUUGACGCUCAGGGACGAAAGCGUGGGGAGCAAACAGG
Molecule: ribosomal RNA, 256 nt
Filed under: uncultured bacterium
Lineage: Bacteria
Description: partial 16S ribosomal RNA
Rfam family: Bacterial small subunit ribosomal RNA
Source: RNAcentral